GACAUUCCUCAGUGGCUCAGUUCUGUGGCAGGGGUUGUUUGGAUAUGAAAGUUGAGAUGUGAAUGGAAGUCCAGCCUCCACUCAUUAGAAAUGGGAUCUUGUACAAGUCUCUUAAACUCCCUGAAGCACAGUUUCUGCCCUUCCUAAAUGAGAUUACACAUCUUCACAGGGUAUUUAUAAAACUCUGUGGUGUAAUGCCUAUGAAAGCAGUAAGUAAACUGUCAAACACUAUGCAAAGGUGAGUUUAAUGCUAUAAAUCUGUGUUACGUUGUGCCAGUAGGCAAGGACUGUUUUAUGCUGAACUCUCCAGUAUUUUUUUUUAAGGGUGGUAUUGGUAGAAGACAUUAUUCUUUUACAAUCUGUUGAGAGGUAGAAUGUGAACAUGGGAACGUAUCAUGUUCCAGUCCACUCACUGGACAACCUUUGGGGUAACAGUUUGUCUAUAGAGCCCAGUUUUCUAUGUAGUUGAGGAUUUAAUCUUUUGUCUCAACACUUAAAAAAUAUUCUUGAUGGAAAUUGUUUAAAAAUAUAUUUAAAGGUUGAAGGAGUUAGUGAAAAAGGAUUGAUGGAUUAUUUAUUGUGAACAGAAGGAAAUAUAAAAUAUAUUCUGGCUCUACUGAUUGCCUUGUAAAGAGCAUAGUCACCAUGAUUUUCCAUUUUAUUAGUAAUUCAGGGGCAUCAUUAUGAAUAUCAGUUACACUCUGCUAUAACACUAUAAUGACUUCAGGGAAUAUACUGCAUAUUGGGUUAUUUGCCUUUAUAUCCUCUAACUUCAAACUGCAUUUUGAAAUUUGUUUUAUAAUUUUUAUUUCCUCCUCUGCUGUCUUUUCUCUUCACUAUGGGGUAAUACCUAUAUUAGCCUUGUUUUUUGCUUAUUUAUUACUUCCUCAUAGAAGUCAAGAGAGCCAGUGUUUUCCAAAUAGAUCCACCUCUCUAUAGGGCUCCCUCAGAAGAAGGCUAUCGGGCACUCCAGGACUCUGAGAGCUGUAGAGAAACCUCCAACCUUCUCCACUCCAUUAGAUACUCAGAAACUUGCCCCCAGAGUGUGUCCCAGAAAAGUCAGAACUAAUGAUUGGGAUAAGAAGCCAAUGCUUUCCAGGUCCACUGAGACUUAGUCAUAUCGCCCCUCAAGCCCCAAGACCUUGAAUCACUCAUCCCUCACCAUAAUGGCCUUAUGUCAGAACCACUGGCUUCAGACUAUGUGUGAAUGCUUGGAUAUUUUUUGUAACCCAUGGACUCAAAGGAAUCAUGUGGACAAAGGAGAGGUGGUUGAACAUUUUUUGUGAUCCAGUUUUUUGAAGGUAUUAUUCUAAGGCCAUAAAAUGUGGAGGGGAUCUAAUACCAUAGCUAGAUUUCUGUGGGUUCUCAAAAAGAAAAGUAUGAUUUGAACCUCUGAUCUUUUCUUGUGAAAUCUGUUGGUGUAUGUGAUCUGGAUGGUUGGUGCAAAGCUGCUUUUGUAAAGAAGUAUCAGUCAUCAGGAGUGCUACUGGCCUUUCCCAGCAGACAGUGUUUUUCUUUCUAUUCCUUCUUUUCCUCUUUAUCCUCACCUUUUUCCUUUUUAUUUUUGAAGUUGUGCCAUACUGUGUACAUAGAAUUUUCUAUGCCAAAGUGAGGGUCAACUAAAUCCUUAAGUGUCAAGACAUGUCAAGAAGUACAAUUAUGACUUUUGGAAACUUUGGUCAGAUCAAGGAUUUAAAAAAGAGGUCAAAGGGGUGCCUGGGUAGUUCAGUCAGUUAAACGUCUGCCUUCAGCUCAGGUCAUGAUCCUGGAGUCCUGGAAUCAAGUCCCCCAUCAGACUCCCUGCUCAGUGGAGAGCCUGCCUCUC
Lutra lutra (Eurasian river otter) is the source of this 1825-nucleotide long non-coding RNA. RefSeq lists it as uncharacterized. The transcript has 5 exons. The record is from RefSeq and is a predicted model, not a curated record. NCBI's taxonomy places the organism in Eukaryota, Metazoa, Chordata, Mammalia, Carnivora, Mustelidae.